Molecule: long non-coding RNA, 1819 nt
Organism: Rattus norvegicus (Norway rat)
Lineage: Eukaryota; Metazoa; Chordata; Mammalia; Rodentia; Muridae
Source: RefSeq, a predicted model, not a curated record
GUGAAUUUUAAUAUCAAUCAAUAAAUUAAAUAAUAAGUCCACAUUACAAAGUUACCCAUAGGCAAAAGGAACUGGGGCGGGGGAAGCGGGGAGGGGGUCCUUAGACACCCAUUGUGUAAAACCUGAAGCCAGCUCUGUAGGAGUUCCUUCUUUUUUUCUUUUUUUUUUUCUUUUUUUCAGAGCUGGGGACCGAACCCAGGGCCAGAGCAAGCGCUCUACCACUGAGCUAAAUCCCCAACUCCUCUGUAGGAGUUCCUUAAAUGGCUUCCCAAACCCAAAGUCAAGACAGAAGGCUCCACAAAAGAAAAGGAGCUGGAACAUCCAGACUCUUGACCAACCCCUUUCCAAAACCCCAAAAUGCCAGAAUUCAGAAACCUAAACAAGCAGGUUUGAUUGUCACCAACAGGCCUGACCUGGGCACAGUCAUGCCCUGGGCAGAGGAGAGAACAGGCACAGCAUUACUAACCCCGCAGUCCACGCCCCUUAGUCAACUCUUCAACACCUAAAUUUUGCUCUGUGCUCGAGAAGCACCUGCCUGAGGGGACACUCACCAUGGCAUCCUCGUGCCUAAGGAGCCACUUGACCCGCUGUCUCUCUUGGUAUGGGAAACAAGAGGCUUUGAAAUUAGAACUUAUGUGUUUUGGAUCCAGCUCAACACCACCUUUGUGGCAGACCUCCAGAGAGAACAGGCAAGGAGCAGGAGGCCAGCAGUACAUUUAUUAAAGGAGGUUGGAGGCCCUGGGAAGGAGGAGCUGGAGACACAGCUCGGGAACUCUUAGAGAAUUCCAUACAUCUUCCACUCUCCAGCAACACAUCCCUGCUCUCUCGCCCUGACCCAUCUCUCUGGCCACGCCUCCAGUGCCAUGCAGGAUAGGAGAUGGGCAGAAUACCAGUGCUUGAAGGUGGCAUUCACCAUCCCUAGGAGAUUGUCAGAACAGGGAGGCCAGUCUGGAGACAAAGUCCAGGCCUCGGGCCUGUUGUGGCCGUUGGGUAAGCGGCCCAUCCUCCAUCCCACAGCACUCCUGCCUGUCCAAAGUGAGAAGGUGAACAGAGAAACUCGGCCCUCCCUUGGGUUCUGACCACCUUGUGGGGAGAUUAUGAUGGUCCUGCCGUUGCCAUGCCAACAGUGAUAUCAUUCCUUUCAUCAUUCCAUGCGGGUGGAUUUUUUUUUCCCUUUUCCUUAAAGGACAUCCUUUUACCAGCAUCUGCCUGGGGACCUACCAAGAGGUCAGCCCUCAUCAUCCCUGGCUCCAGGUAAACCAUGCUGUCUAGACUGUGAAGUCCUCAUGGGAGCGACUCCCGGGAUACAGGCAGGGGCUGCCCCCCGGCUGGCUGAUCCACUAAAUGGAAGGAGAACCAACAAAAUGUUUUCAGCUCCUCCUAUCAGACAGCAGGGAGAACAGGGAUGUGGCCAGGCCUAGGUUGGUCUCAUAGGACAGGUGAAGCCGCUUUCUAAGAAAAAUAAAGGCAAAGAGGAAUAAAGAUGGGAGAUGUGGAUCCCACACUUGAGUUGGGGAUUUAGCUCAGUGGUGCUUGCAAGGCCCUGGGUUCGGUCCUCAGCUCCGGAAAAAAAAAGAGCGUCCACACAGAGGAGUGCAGAAGAUGAGAAGAAAAUCGUUCCCAGAUAACAGGUCUGUGGGGACGCUUGCAGAGAGCAAAGGAAGGCGGCGGGGCAGCGGGCGGCGGGCAACAGCUCUGGUUCCAGCUGGCGGAAUCUCACCAGGGAAAAGGUGGCCAUCUGCCACAGAGUGGGCAGAGGGGCCCAGCCCGGCAUCCCUGCAGCCAGCUAACCUCUUCAAUACAGUUAACUUUCACAGAC